This 253-nucleotide ribosomal RNA is filed under the name uncultured bacterium. RNAcentral's name for it is "partial 16S ribosomal RNA". It matches the Rfam family "Bacterial small subunit ribosomal RNA", at positions 524 to 776 of the family's 1533-position model. The record is from RNAcentral.
AACGUAGGACACAAGCGUUAUCCGGAGUUACUGGGCGUAAAGGGCGUUUAGGCGGGUGACUAAGUUCGCUAUGAAAGCGCCGGGCUAAACUCGGCGAGGCUGGCGGAUACUGGUCAGCUGGAGUGAGUCAGAGGAAGGUAGAAUUCCGCGUGUAGUGGUGAAAUGCGUAGAGAUGCGGAGGAAUACCGGUGGCGAAGGCGGCAUCCUGGACCAUUACUGACGCUGAGGCGCGAAAGCUAGGGGAGCAAACGGG